Small nuclear RNA from Erinaceus europaeus (western European hedgehog), 164 nucleotides. Its record names the gene U1. It matches the Rfam family "U1 spliceosomal RNA". From Rfam's summary of the family: U1 is a small nuclear RNA (snRNA) component of the spliceosome (involved in pre-mRNA splicing). Its 5' end forms complementary base pairs with the 5' splice junction, thus defining the 5' donor site of an intron. NCBI's taxonomy places the organism in Eukaryota, Metazoa, Chordata, Mammalia, Eulipotyphla, Erinaceidae. The record is from Ensembl.
GUGCUUACCUGGUAGGGUAGAUACCUUGAUCACGAAGGUGGUUUUCCCAGGGCGAGGCGGAUCCAAGGCACUCCAGAUGUGCUGACCCCUGCAAUUUCCCCAAAUGUGUGAAACUCGACUGGGUAAUCUGUGGUAGUGGGGGACUGUGUUCGCACCCUCCCCUA